RNAcentral lists this transfer RNA (603 nucleotides) under uncultured Prochlorococcus sp. Its description in RNAcentral is "partial 16S-23S ribosomal RNA intergenic spacer". The stretch from base 211 to 283 matches the Rfam family "tRNA". Lineage: Bacteria; Bacillati; Cyanobacteriota; Cyanophyceae; Synechococcales; Prochlorococcaceae. The record is from RNAcentral.
GAUUGGGGUAUAGAAUCUUCAUAUAGGACGUAUCCUGUCGACUUAUGUCGAUCAGUUCCUCAGAUUAAAUUAUAAAAUUUAAUUUUAGUUCAUAAACUUGUCUAGGUCACACCCAACAACUUUCUCUUGGGCUAUUAGCUCAGGCGGUUAGAGCGCACCCUGAUAAGGGUGAGGUCCCUGGUUCAAGUCCAGGAUGGCCCAUUCGUUGUUGGGGGUAUAGCUCAGUUGGUAGAGCGCCUGCUUUGCAAGCAGGAUGUCAGCGGUUCGAGUCCGCUUACCUCCACUGAUCAACUACCUAAUAACUCAAUUAUUGGAGAUUGUUUUUGUUUGAUUUGACUUAGAUGUUGUUCAUCUGAAUGAACCUAGCUUCCUAUCAUUCCAAAUUUAAAUAUGGCUGAUAAGACGCUGGGCUCACUGAUAGAAAUAUCAGUUUGAUUCAGUAGAACCUUGACAACUGCAUAGGAAAGUCUGGAAAGAAAGCAUCUCAUAGAUGUUUAUAGAAAAAUCUUAUUUAGCAAAGCUAAGUUUUGAGAUUUCUAUAAAAAUUCUAAAGUUAGAGCAAAAUUUCUAUAACUAAAUUUUCUUGAUUAAAUUAGUUUUAAC